This 68-nucleotide transfer RNA is filed under the name Marmota monax (woodchuck). RNAcentral's name for it is "tRNA.Ala". Lineage: Eukaryota; Metazoa; Chordata; Mammalia; Rodentia; Sciuridae. The record is from RNAcentral.
GAGGGUAGCUCAGUGGUAGAGUGCUUGCCUGGCACGUGCAAGGCCCUGGAUUCCAUCCCAGCCCUGCA